UGAAAUCAAAGAGAAUAAUCAGGAGAAAGGCAGAAGCACUCAAAGCACGUAUUCACAUCAGAUAGCAUACAUACGCAUACAUAAACACAAGAGAAAUCAACCAAGAGAUAUUGCAAUAAGACAUCCAGAAACAGGCAGAAAAGAGAUUGCAACAAAACAUAGGACAUCAUACAUCAUAGCAGAGAACAACACUCAGGAGGAAUAGGAAGGAAGAGGCAUAGCUCAGGUAAGUCACUCCUUUUUCCUUUUUUUCUUCAAAUACUUGCAAAUAAGAAAUGCAUUUCAAUCAAUAUGUAUCAAGAGAGAUAUACAUCACACCAUAAGAAAUCAGAAUGUAUAACAGUUAAAAACGCAUCAUA
This 359-nucleotide long non-coding RNA is filed under the name Lupinus angustifolius (narrow-leaved blue lupine). RNAcentral's name for it is "long non-coding RNA (LANG_LNC002102)". The record is from RNAcentral. Lineage: Eukaryota; Viridiplantae; Streptophyta; Magnoliopsida; Fabales; Fabaceae.